This 70-nucleotide transfer RNA is filed under the name Dipodomys ordii (Ord's kangaroo rat). It matches the Rfam family "tRNA". From Rfam's summary of the family: Transfer RNA (tRNA) molecules are approximately 80 nucleotides in length. Their secondary structure includes four short double-helical elements and three loops (D, anti-codon, and T loops). The record is from Rfam by way of RNAcentral. Lineage: Eukaryota; Metazoa; Chordata; Mammalia; Rodentia; Heteromyidae.
GGAAAUGUGACUUAGUGGCAGAGUGCUUGCCUUGUACUCAUGAAGUCCUGGGUUCAAUUCCUCAGUACCA